GAUGAACGCUGGCGGCGUGCCUAAUACAUGCAAGUCGAGCGAACGGACGAGAAGCUUGCUUCUUUGAUGUUAGCGGCGGACGGGUGAGUCACACGUGGAUCCCCUCCCUAUCAGACUGGGAUAACUUCGGGAAACCGGCGCUAAUCCCGGAUAAUAUUUUGAACCGCAUGGUUCAAAAGUGAAAGACGGUCUUGCUGUCACUUCUAGAUGGAUCCGCGCUGCAUUAGCUAGUUGGUAAGGUAACGGCUUACCAAGGCAACGAUGCAUAGCCGACCGGAGAGGGUGAUAGGCCACACUGGAACUGAGACACGGUCCAGACUCCUACGGGAGGCAGCAGUAGGGAAUCGUCCGCAAUGGGCGAAAGCCUGACGGAGCAACGCCGCGUGAGUGAUGAAGGUCUUCGGAUCGUAAAACUCUGUUAUUAGGGAAGAACAUAUGUGGAAGUAACUGUGCACAUCUUGACGGUACCUAAUCAGAAAGCCACGGCUAACUACGUG
This 497-nucleotide ribosomal RNA is filed under the name uncultured bacterium. Its description in RNAcentral is "partial 16S ribosomal RNA". It matches the Rfam family "Bacterial small subunit ribosomal RNA", at positions 28 to 507 of the family's 1533-position model. The record is from RNAcentral.